UACGUAGGGGGCUAGCGUUGUCCGGAAUCAUUGGGCGUAAAGAGCUCGUAGGCGGUGUGUCGCGUCGGCCGUGAAAACCUGCAGCUUAACUGUGGGCUUGCGGUCGAUACGGGCAUCACUGGAGUUCGGCAGGGGAGACUGGAAUUCCUGGUGUAGCGGUGGAAUGCGCAGAUAUCAGGAGGAACACCGGUGGCGAAGGCGGGUCUCUGGGCCGAUACUGACGCUGAGGAGCGAAAGCGUGGGGAGCAAACAGG
RNAcentral lists this ribosomal RNA (254 nucleotides) under uncultured bacterium. RNAcentral's name for it is "partial 16S ribosomal RNA". It matches the Rfam family "Bacterial small subunit ribosomal RNA", at positions 524 to 776 of the family's 1533-position model. The record is from RNAcentral.